GCCACGCCCCCAGCGCCGCUUCCGGCCGCUCGAGCGGCGCGGCGGGAGCGGCGCCUCAGGGAGCGCCCGGGCUGAGCGGGAGCGGCGCCCGCGGGGCCCGGGCUGGAGGAGCCCGCGGCUCUGCGGGGCCCUGAGGGGGCUGCGGCAUCCCAGGGAGGCUGCAGGAGCCGCGGGCUGAGAACUGGAACUGCCGGGGCUGGAGGACCCGCGUCUGUUACUGCUUUGAACAUCCCAGACUGUGAUGGAUUGAUUGAGUGACCCAGCAUACAAGUAUUUCUCAACUUUGGAGAAGCAGGCACUGCAAAGGCCUUUCAGCAGAGAUGUGGGCUUAAAAUGGCAUUAGAUCGUUGUGCUGCUAAAUACAGGUUGAAGUGGA
Molecule: long non-coding RNA, 376 nt
Organism: Vidua chalybeata
Lineage: Eukaryota; Metazoa; Chordata; Aves; Passeriformes; Viduidae
Exons: 2
Source: RefSeq, a predicted model, not a curated record